AGCGAACGCUGGCGGCAGGCCUAACACAUGCAAGUCGAACGAACUCUUCGGAGUUAGUGGCGGACGGGUGAGUAACACGUGGGAACGUGCCUUUUGGUUCGGAAUAACUCAGGGAAACUUGUGCUAAUACCGAAUGUGCCCUUCGGGGGAAAGAUUUAUCGCCAUUAGAGCGGCCCGCGUCUGAUUAGCUAGUUGGUGAGGUAACGGCUCACCAAGGCGACGAUCAGUAGCUGGUCAGAGAGGAUGACCAGCCACACUGGGACUGAGACACGGCCCAGACUCCUACGGGAGGCAGCAGUGGGGAAUCUUGCGCAAUGGGCGAAAGCCUGACGCAGCCAUGCCGCGUGAAUGAUGAAGGUCUUAGGAUUGUAAAAUUCUUUCAACGGGGACGAUAAUGACGGUACCCGGAGAAGAAGCCCCGGCUAACUUCGUG
Molecule: ribosomal RNA, 433 nt
Filed under: uncultured bacterium
Lineage: Bacteria
Description: partial 16S ribosomal RNA
Rfam family: Bacterial small subunit ribosomal RNA
Source: RNAcentral